UAUUUGGUGGUAUCUUUCUGAUAUUAGAAAGUAGUUUCAGGAUGGAGAGAUGGCUCAGCUGUUAAAUGCUAGGCUCAUAACCAAAAAUAU
This 90-nucleotide microRNA precursor is filed under the name Mesocricetus auratus (golden hamster). Its description in RNAcentral is "miRNA (ENSMAUG00000004338.1)". The record is from RNAcentral. Lineage: Eukaryota; Metazoa; Chordata; Mammalia; Rodentia; Cricetidae.